Molecule: unclassified non-coding RNA, 257 nt
Filed under: fungal sp.
Lineage: Eukaryota; Fungi
Description: partial internal transcribed spacer region
Rfam family: Eukaryotic small subunit ribosomal RNA (bases 1-46)
Source: RNAcentral
AAGUCGUAACAAGGUUUCCGUAGGUGAACCUGCGGAAGGAUCAUUACCAAAUCCAAAUACCUAACCCCAUGUGAACUAUUGUUUUAGUCUGUCUUUGGGAGAAAGCUUUAUUGUUUUCUCCCAAUAGAGUCCGGCGCAAUGUUCUCGUUGUGUCCAGACUCGAAACCCCCUUUUAAACCACUUGAUUUUUCUGUUGGAAUUUUCUUUUAUUAAUUAUAAACAAAAGACAACUUUUAACGGCGGAUCUCUUGGCUCGU